UACGUAGGUGGCAAGCGUUGUCCGGAUUUAUUGGGCGUAAAGGGAGCGCAGGCGGUGACUUAAGUCUGAUGUGAAAGCCCACGGCUCAACCGUGGAAGGUCAUUGGAAACUGGGGAACUUGAAUGCAGAAGAGGAGAGUGGAAUUCCAUGUGUAGCGGUGAAAUGCGUAGAUAUAUGGAGGAACACCAGUGGCGAAGGCGACUCUCUGGUCUGUUAUUGACGCUGAGGCUCGAAAGCGUGGGGAGCAAACAGGAUUAGAUA
Molecule: ribosomal RNA, 261 nt
Filed under: uncultured prokaryote
Description: partial 16S ribosomal RNA
Rfam family: Bacterial small subunit ribosomal RNA
Source: RNAcentral